Molecule: long non-coding RNA, 535 nt
Filed under: Olea europaea (common olive)
Lineage: Eukaryota; Viridiplantae; Streptophyta; Magnoliopsida; Lamiales; Oleaceae
Description: long non-coding RNA (OEUR_LNC003615)
Source: RNAcentral
CCAGAAACAUCAACUGAUUGAUCAUCAGCAACAAUUUAACGAACAGGAAAAUGCUUCCAUGUUCAUCACUGGCGGCACUGGGGCUCCACAAUUUUUCAACCUUCCACCAUUAAUGGGGACUUAUGAUGAUACAUCAGCAUUUGAUAGGAUCCUGGAACUCAGUCAAAUGACCAAUGAGAAUCAGUUUGGGAUGUAUUCUUCAUCUGUUUCACCAGUUCUUGAACCAGUUUCUGCAGGUUUUUCAGGAUUCCCUUCUGUCCUUCGUGCACCUAAGAUGCAGGUUCCUGCAGUCAAUCAUAUUCAGUUCAUUCAAUCCGUCAUGCCAGAAUUCAACUCAUCAUCUUCCUCCUCGUCCUUCCCCUUGCUAGAUCAAUCCGUAGACAUGAUGGUGCUCGAAUGAAUUUUCUGAUUUAUGGCAGGAAUCAUUGAAUGCCAUGAAUUUAAUUUUCAAGGUUUAAAAAAAAAAAAUACAUAAAUGUUUCUAAUUUGGGAUUUUCUGAAGAAAUUUCCAAAUUAAUGAAUGUUCAUAAAUAAG